RNAcentral lists this ribosomal RNA (593 nucleotides) under uncultured bacterium. RNAcentral's name for it is "bacterial SSU rRNA". It matches the Rfam family "Bacterial small subunit ribosomal RNA", at positions 338 to 946 of the family's 1533-position model. The record is from RNAcentral.
CCUACGGGAGGCAGCAGUGGGGAAUCUUGCGCAAUGGGCGAAAGCCUGACGCAGCAACGCCGCGUGCGGGAAGAAGGCUUUCGGGCUGUAAACCGCUUUCAGCAGGAACGAAAAUGACGGUACCUGCAGAAGAAGGAGCGGCCAACUAUGUGCCAGCAGCCGCGGUGAUACAUAGGCUUCAAGCGUUGUCCGGAUUUAUUGGGCGUAAAGAGUUCGUAGGCGGUCAAGUAAGUCGGGUGUGAAAAUUCUGGGCUCAACCCAGAGACGCCACCCGAUACUGCUUAACUUGAGUUCGAUAGGGGAGUGGGGAAUUCCUAGUGUAGCGGUGAAAUGCGCAGAUAUUAGGAGGAACACCGGUGGCGAAGGCGCCACUCUGGAUCGAUACUGACGCUGAGGAACGAAAGCAUGGGUAGCAAACAGGAUUAGAUACCCUGGUAGUCCAUGCCGUAAACGGUGGGCACUAGGUGUGGGUUUCUAUUAACGAAAUCCGNGCCGUCGCUAACGCAUUAAGUGCCCCGCCUGGGGAGUCGGUCGCAAGCUAAAACUCAAAUGAAUUGACCGGNUGAGACGNGCGAGACGACGACGAGGAGAGG